This is a small nuclear RNA of Rhinolophus ferrumequinum (greater horseshoe bat), 107 nucleotides long. Lineage: Eukaryota; Metazoa; Chordata; Mammalia; Chiroptera; Rhinolophidae. The record is from Ensembl.
GGGCUCGCUCCAGCAGUUCAGAUACUAAAAUUGGAACGAGAAAGAGAAGAUUAGCAUGGCCCUUGCACUAGGAUGACAUGCAAAUUCGUGAAGUAUUCCAUAUUUAU